This 746-nucleotide long non-coding RNA is filed under the name Amborella trichopoda. RNAcentral describes it as "long non-coding RNA (ATRI_LNC002708)". The record is from RNAcentral. Lineage: Eukaryota; Viridiplantae; Streptophyta; Magnoliopsida; Amborellales; Amborellaceae.
UUCUCUUUCUAAAAACGUUGAGAUAGUGUCCCCCUCUAAAAUUUGAUGUAGUUUCUCUUUCUACCCUUGAGUCAAUCAAUAGGGAGGGUCAACUUCACCAAAGUAGAAAGGCCACUAUCUAAGCAAUUUGGAGGCUUGUUUGUUCAACUACUAUUGAAAUGAAAUGAUAUAAUGAAGGUCGCGCUAGAAGUUCAAGUGGUCGCCCACCCUUUUUUUGAAGAGUCCCUACACUGUGACUCUAACAUUUGGGUUGCAAAAAUAACUUAGUAGAGGUUGCGUACAUGCUUGCUAAGGGGUUAAGAUACUUUCUCUCUCUAAAACUUAAUACUUGAGGUAGUUUCUCUCUCUAAUUUAUGGGGAUGUUUACUUGAGGUAGUUUUUCUCUCUAAUUUAUGGGGAUGUUUUGGUAGAACUAGUUGUAUUUAAUAAAAUGGCCAGCUCCAUUGUGUGACAACAAUAUUAUCAUCAGUUGCAUUCAGUGUUCGCAAAAUCGAACCAGAACGGUUAACUAGACAUGGGCCUGGAAGCGAUUUAACUAGGCUAACCGGUAACCCGGCUGAUUCAACUGCUCUAACCGAGCAAGUCCCGAAGACUAAGAAUGUGAUUGAAACAAAACACACUCAAAUGAAGUUGAAAAAUAAUGAAAAAAUGGAUUUUAACGAGUCAAUUUAUGCCUAAGGGUAUUUUUAAAAUUUUCUGAAAAGAUCGGAAAAUAUAAAAGUGAUUAUCAAUGACCAAAAUAUUUU